Fukomys damarensis (Damara mole-rat) is the source of this 115-nucleotide small nuclear RNA. The record is from Ensembl. Lineage: Eukaryota; Metazoa; Chordata; Mammalia; Rodentia; Bathyergidae.
GUGCUCGCUUCGGCAGCACAUAUACUAACAUUGGAACGAUACAGAGAAGAUUAGCAUGGCCCCUGUGUAUAGAUUACACGUAAACUCGUAAACUCGUGAAGUGUUCCCUAUUUUU